This 301-nucleotide ribosomal RNA is filed under the name uncultured bacterium. Its description in RNAcentral is "partial 16S ribosomal RNA". It matches the Rfam family "Bacterial small subunit ribosomal RNA", at positions 509 to 809 of the family's 1533-position model. The record is from RNAcentral.
CAGUCGCCGCGGUAAUACAGAGGGUGCGAGCGUUAAUCGGAUUUACUGGGCGUAAAGCGUGCGUAGGCGGCUUCUUAAGUCGGAUGUAAAAUCCCUGAGCUUAACUUAGGAAUUGCAUUCGAUACUGGGAAGCUAGAGUAUGGGAGAGGAUGGUAGAAUUCCAGGUGUAGCGGUGAAAUGCGUAGAGAUCUGGAGGAAUACCGAUGGCGAAGGCAGCCAUCUGGCCUAAUACUGACGCUGAGGUACGAAAGCAUGGGGAGCAAACAGGAUUAGAGACCCCCGUAGUCCCUGUCUCUUAUAA